This 635-nucleotide ribosomal RNA is filed under the name Pleosporales sp. Sigrf05. RNAcentral's name for it is "eukaryotic LSU rRNA". The stretch from base 211 to 364 matches the Rfam family "5.8S ribosomal RNA". The record is from RNAcentral. Lineage: Eukaryota; Fungi; Ascomycota; Dothideomycetes; Pleosporales.
GGGGGUACCUGCGGAAGGAUCAUUAAAUUUCUUGGGCGUGCCCAUGUCGGGGGUCGUGUGUCAUAACGUUUAAUCGUAUAGACGUGCGCCCUGGCUGCAUCCUUGUCUAUUGCGUACUAUUUGUUUCCUCGGCGGGCUUGCUCGCCGAUUGGACAACUAUUAUACUCUUUUGUAAUUGUAAUCAGCGUCUGAAUAAACUAUAAUAGUUACAACUUUCAACAACGGAUCUCUUGGUUCUGGCAUCGAUGAAGAACGCAGCGAAAUGCGAUAAGUAGUGUGAAUUGCAGAAUUCAGUGAAUCAUCGAAUCUUUGAACGCACAUUGCGCCCCUUGGUAUUCCAUGGGGCAUGCCUGUUCGAGCGUCAUUUGUACCUUCAAGCUUUGCUUGGUGAUGGGUGUUUGUCCUGCCCUCUGCGGCUGGACUCGCCUUAAAAUUAUUGGCAGCCGGCAUAUUGGCCUUUGGAGCGCAGCACAUUUUGCGAUCUAAGCCGUUAUACUGGUACCCAUAAAGCGUACUUUCUCACUUUUGACCUCGGAUCAGGUAGGGAUACCCGCUGAACUUAAGCAUAUCAAUAAGGCGGAGGAAUCAUUAAAUUUCUUGGGCGUGCCCAUGUCGGGGGUCGUGUGUCAUAACGU